Molecule: ribosomal RNA, 193 nt
Filed under: Philorhizus sigma
Lineage: Eukaryota; Metazoa; Arthropoda; Insecta; Coleoptera; Carabidae
Description: partial 28S ribosomal RNA
Rfam family: Eukaryotic large subunit ribosomal RNA
Source: RNAcentral
GGACCAAGGAGUCUUGCAUAUGCGCAAGUCAUUGGGACUUUUAAAAACCUAAAGGCGUAAUGAAAGUGAAAUAAUUUUCUUUAUUGAAUGAUUAAGGGAAGAUGGGUAACGGAAUUUAUGUUACCUCGCAUUCCCGGGGCGUCGCGUACUUAUUGCAAGUUGCGGCGCACCAAGAGCGAAUACGCUGGGACCC